UCCGUACUUUGCCGGUAGAAAGACUAGCAGAGUAUCAUGCUUGCGUCUUGCACGCGAUUUUGUUCCUGGUAAACAAAAUCUAGCAGGCAGUUGUGCCUUUGGCAUGCGCCGGUUUUGGACGCAAGCUCGGCUCCAUCCCGUUGGGUUCAUCAAUGAAACUGGUGUGGACUUGGCUCAAUCCAAAGUUUCAUGGCAAAAGAUUGGUUUGGAAGCGAUCUUGGCUCCAUCCAAGACACAACUUGGUUAUGACUUCGCCAUGGCUCGGUCGCUGCCGCCCGCUGCCGGCAACUAUACCCGAGGCCUGUUCAUCUAUGGCUGUUCAUUGAUGGUAAAAAAUGCAAACUGAAAAAGAAAACAAAGCAGCAUGCUCCACGUAUAAGAGAGCAUGUCCAUCAAUUUAUUAACUGAACUAACCAAAAUCAUGUCAUAUACUAGUUCAUGCUAUGUCAUAGAUGCUAACGUGCGCGGUGCACUACUACAAAAACAAUUUGUAGGAACACCUACAAAAGAAUUUUUAGAGGCAAAUCACCCCUCACCUGCCCCAAAAAUGAGCGUCAUUUUCAAGACCCCUACAAAUAGUUGUACACAAAAAAAUUCAUAACUUUUUUAUAUGAUCUCGGAUGAAGACAAACUUAAUAACAAAAUUGUAGAGAAUGCCCCUACAAAUGGUUCCACAUAAAAAAUUCAUAAUUUUUUUAUAUGAUCUCGGAUGAAGUCAAACUUUAUAUCAAAAUUGUAGAGAAUGACAAGAUCUAAAACUUUGUAGUUGAUAAAUUUUUUAUUUGAGGUCAUCUAAUGGUCCAAAAUAUUAUUAUAAAUUCUCUAAUAGCUAUUACUAUAUAGUAUCUCAUACAACUUAAAUCAUACUUUGAUCUUUCCACAAUCUUAACCUUUAGAUACACUGAAAUAUAUUUGGCAUUUUUUUGUCUCUAUAGUUCACACUAAUCAUGAUGUGAAAGUUUCAUAUUUUUUUAAUUUAUUUUACUAAUUUAAAGAUUUAAAUAAAUUUUUAGAAUAAAAUGAAAAAAACAUUUUUAAAAACAAGCAAGGACAUCACCGGCCUCUGAAAAUAAAUUUCUAAAGACGGGUACCACCCGCCCGUAGAAAUGAAUUCUUAGGACGGGUGACGCCACACCCGCCUCACCAAUCCAGAUCGUCACAUCGCGACGUCAUCGAUCCAUGCCCCACGCGCUCCACCAAUCGCGCAUCCAUCCACACCCCACGCGAUCCGCACCCCACGCGCUCCACCAAUUCGCGCCCCAUCAUAACCACUACAUCACCCUUCUGUUGUUUCUCUCCACCUUUUCCUUCUCUCUCCCUCCAAUCCCCUCCCCAUCUCUCUCGUUCCAAUCCAUGUUCCCUCCUCGCUCAGCACCGCAAGCAUCACGAGCCUGGCCAAGCCCCUCCGCCUCUCCGUCCGCGCAAGCACCACGACAUGGCCUCUACAAGAUUUUGUUUUUUUUCUGCGAUUUUCGGUUCUUGAUUUCCUGCAGUACGAAGCCGUCCACCGUGAGCGGGAGCAGUGGUGCAGUCAGCUUCGGGAGCGGGAGCUGCGGCGUGGGUGCGGCAGAGCAGCGGCGGCGAGGCCGUGCGCACAGCAGCGCGGGACCGUGAACUUGACGGCGCGGGGCUGGACGAGCAGCGCAAGGCCGCAGGAGCAGUGCUCACGGUGGCACGGGACCACGCGACCGCCGGCGUGGGGCCGCAGGAGCAGCGGCGCGACACCAGCGCAGAGCCGCAGGAGCAUGCAUGGCGGCGGCAGGGCCGCGUGCACGGCGGCCAUUUUUUUUUUGUAUUUGGUUUGUAGGAGCGGGUGACCGCGUGACCCGUCCUGAAACUGAAACUAGAGGUGGGUUAUGUCUUCACCCGUUUCUAAAAAUUUAUUUCUAGAAACGGAUGAGGGCAUCAUCCAUCCAUAAAAUGAUUUUUAAGGGUGGCCAUGUUACUCGCCCUUGAAAAAAAUAUUUUUAAAGAUAUUUUUAGAAAAAAAACUAGAGGUGGGUGAGAUGUUCGUCCAUACAAAUUUAUUUUUA
Panicum virgatum (switchgrass) is the source of this 2033-nucleotide long non-coding RNA. RefSeq lists it as uncharacterized. The transcript is spliced from 2 exons. NCBI's taxonomy places the organism in Eukaryota, Viridiplantae, Streptophyta, Magnoliopsida, Poales, Poaceae. The record is from RefSeq and is a predicted model, not a curated record.